AAUCUAAUAUGUUCCAAGCACUUGCAGACAAAUCCGUUUCAGAGGAUCAAUAAAGAAAAUUACCCUUUAUGUGUAAUGGAAAGAGAAAUUGAGCAAUGAAGUGUCCCUAGAGUCACAAUAGCUAGCUCUCCUUAUUACCCUGCACCUUCAUCCCCUUCUAAUAAUCUCUCCAAAGUCAUGAUCCUAUCCUUGAGGGAGUUUGAAAAAGAUCACUUCAUGUGGAAGCAAGCAUCACAGAUUCACAUAUGAUGAAUGAAGAUCUAUUGAGGCUAAUGGACUGCAGAGUCGUCCAUCCAGUAAGAAUCUUUGUUACGUUCAAGUGGCGUUCAAGGUUCAAGUGGGCGUAGUCACCAAUCAUUUUCGCAAUAUGUAUUGUCAUUUUUAUUGUAAUUGAGUAGUUAACAUCUUUGCGUCACUCACAUUUGUUUACGUCGAUACUGUACUACUGGUCAGUACUUCAAUCAAAUAGAGGUACUAAUAAAGUAUAAUAAAACUAGUUAAUCGAUGACUCGAUUAUUAGUAGUGCGUAUGGAAAAGAAUUUGUAAUCUCUAAAUGUCAAUGUUAUUACUUAUUAGUUUCAUUUA
Molecule: long non-coding RNA, 585 nt
Organism: Lotus japonicus
Lineage: Eukaryota; Viridiplantae; Streptophyta; Magnoliopsida; Fabales; Fabaceae
Exons: 3
Source: RefSeq, a predicted model, not a curated record